CUGAGGUACUGGAAGGUCCUCAGGCCGAAAGGGGCUCUGCCCGCCCGAGGAUGGGCCGGCGGCCGAUUAGGUAGUUGGUGGGGUAACGGCCCACCAAGCCGAAGAUCGGUACGGGCCAUGAGAGUGGGAGCCCGGAGAUGGACACUGAGACACGGGUCCAGGCCCUACGGGGCGCAGCAGGCGCGAAACCUCCGCAAUGCGGGCAACCGCGACGGGGGGACCCCCAGUGCCGUGGCAACGCCACGGCUUUUCCGGAGUGUAAAAAGCUCCGGGAAUAAGGGCUGGGCAAGGCCGGUGGCAGCCGCCGCGGUAAUACCGGCGGCCCGAGUGGUGGCCGCUAUUAUUGGGCCUAAAGCGUCCGUAGCCGGGCCCGUAAGUCCCUGGCGAAAUCCCACGGCUCAACCGUGGGGCUUGCUGGGGAUACUGCGGGCCUUGGGACCGGGAGAGGCCGGGGGUACCCCUGGGGUAGGGGUGAAAUCCUAUAAUCCCAGGGGGACCGCCAGUGGCGAAGGCGCCCGGCUGGAACGGGUCCGACGGUGAGGGACGAAGGCCAGGGGAGCGAACCGGAUUAGAUACCCGGGUAGUCCUGGCUGUAAAGGAUGCGGGCUAGGUGUCGGGCGAGCUUCGAGCUCGCCCGGUGCCG
This 643-nucleotide ribosomal RNA is filed under the name uncultured archaeon. Its description in RNAcentral is "bacterial SSU rRNA". It matches the Rfam family "Archaeal small subunit ribosomal RNA", at positions 162 to 803 of the family's 1478-position model. The record is from RNAcentral.